RNAcentral lists this ribosomal RNA (450 nucleotides) under uncultured bacterium. RNAcentral describes it as "partial 16S ribosomal RNA". It matches the Rfam family "Bacterial small subunit ribosomal RNA", at positions 354 to 796 of the family's 1533-position model. The record is from RNAcentral.
GUGGGGAAUAUUGGACAAUGGGCGAAAGCCUGAUCCAGCCAUGCCGCGUGUGUGAAGAAGGUCUUCGGAUUGUAAAGCACUUUAAGUUGGGAGGAAGGGUAGUAACCUAAUACGUUGCUACUUUGACGUUACCGACAGAAUAAGCACCGGCUAACUUCGUGCCAGCAGCCGCGGUAAUACGAAGGGUGCAAGCGUUAAUCGGAAUUACUGGGCGUAAAGCGCGCGUAGGUGGUUCAGUAAGUUGGAAGUGAAAUCCCCGGUCUCAACCUGGGAACUGCUUUCAAAACUGCUGAGCUAGAGUACGGUAGAGGGUGGUGGAAUUUCCUGUGUAGCGGUGAAAUGCGUUGAUAUAGGAAGGAACACCAGUGGCGAAGGCGACCACCUGGACUGAUACUGACACUGAGGUGCGAAAGCGUGGGGAGCAAACAGGAUUAGAUACCCGAGUAGUCC